This 635-nucleotide long non-coding RNA is filed under the name Apteryx rowi (Okarito brown kiwi). RNAcentral describes it as "lncRNA (ENSARWG00000002818.1)". Lineage: Eukaryota; Metazoa; Chordata; Aves; Apterygiformes; Apterygidae. The record is from RNAcentral.
ACCAGUUUACACAGGUGAAAUUAGAGACACACACACAAGCAAGUCAUUGUGUAAAACAGAAAUGUAGUUUGAGAUUUGGCAUCUUUAGUAGGAGACAGUUUUGGCUUAACUUUGUUUCCUUGCAUGUAUGAUCACAGGAAAAGCAAGGAUGAAAAGGAACAGAGAUUUCUCCAUUUCACCAUGGAAAGUCUGGCAAAAUGACAGCAACGAUGAAAGACGGACAGACGCAGGUUUUAUCUUUAUUGCCCACAGUGUGGGAAACUGUUACACAUAUAUACCACAAAGUCUGUUUCCAAGCUUGAAAGUGAAGGGCUUGAAGAAACAAACCAAGCCAACCAGGCAAACGCAUGUUUUCAGAACGUAAAUGUUGUUUGCAGCCUGGAAAGAAUUGCUACAAAUUUUUGCAGAGAUUUCCCCGAAAUGCUGUUGACCCUGGGAAGGAGCUUUGUUGCUCUCGCAGGGAAGCUGCUGCUGAGAACAGCAAGAUGUUAGUGCCACCUGGUGCUCACAUUUCGACGUGGCAAAGAAACGGAGAAGCGUCACAGAAGAGGCACUAGAAGGGGAUUUGGAACAUCUUGUAAAUCACCAAACCAUCUAAGAAGACUAAUAAUAAUAAAUAAUUAAAAAACUAAAGC